This 222-nucleotide unclassified non-coding RNA is filed under the name Hevea brasiliensis (rubber tree). The record is from RNAcentral. Lineage: Eukaryota; Viridiplantae; Streptophyta; Magnoliopsida; Malpighiales; Euphorbiaceae.
CAGCAUAUGUUGGCAGGAUUCCAGAUCGUAUCCACAGAACUCCUCUCAUUAAUAUUCCACACUUUUACAGAACAAUCAUCACUUCCAGUGGCAAACUUUGUUGGAUUCACUUGAGAAAAAUCAACAGACCAAGCCCUCUUCUGGUGCUCUGUAUGUUGUGAAAAUUCUUGACCUGUGCUUGCAUCCCACAUCUAGAUUCAAAAAUUAUACACCAAGACCUAG